CCUACGGGAGGCAGCAGUGGGGAAUAUUGCACAAUGGGGGAAACCCUGAUGCAGCGACGCCGCGUGAGUGAAGACGGUCCUAUGGAUUGUAAACCUCUUUUGUCGGGGAGCAAAAGACGCCACGCGUGGCGUUCCGUGAGUACCCGAAGAAAAAGCAUCGGCUAACUCCGUGCCAGCAGCCGCGGUAAUACGGAGGAUGCGAGCGUUAUCCGGAUUUAUUGGGUUUAAAGGGUGCGCAGGCGGAAGAUCAAGUCAGCGGUAAACUUGAGAGGCUCAACCUCUUCGAGCCGUUGAAACUGGUGUUCUUGAGUGAGCGAGAAGUAUGCGGAAUGCGUGGUGUAGCGGUGAAAUGCAUAGAUAUCACGCAGAACUCCGAUUGCGAAGGCAGCAUACCGGCGCUCAACUGACGCUCAUGCACGAAAGUGUGGGUAUCGAACAGGAGUAGAUACCCCAGUAGUC
Molecule: ribosomal RNA, 459 nt
Filed under: uncultured bacterium
Lineage: Bacteria
Description: partial 16S ribosomal RNA
Rfam family: Bacterial small subunit ribosomal RNA
Source: RNAcentral